Hypanus sabinus (Atlantic stingray) is the source of this 395-nucleotide long non-coding RNA. RefSeq lists it as uncharacterized. The transcript has 3 exons. Lineage: Eukaryota; Metazoa; Chordata; Chondrichthyes; Myliobatiformes; Dasyatidae. The record is from RefSeq and is a predicted model, not a curated record.
UGAAAAAACGAGCACUGUCAAAAACUCCCUCACAAAAGAUGCUUCUUACAACGACCACUUCAACUUCAAGUUCAAAUACUUACUGAGCAUCUAGUCUGAGAUAUUGUCAAAUAAAAGGAUUGCUUAAGAAAUCACUUAAUAUUUGAACCUUGGAGUUCAAAGUGCAUUGCAGGAUCAGAAUCAAGAAACAAACAUAUAUUUUUGGUGAAGUCACUCAGCUCUCCAAAUGCAAUAGCAUCACUAUUUCAGGGGAGGAUGGAGAUAACUGGACAGCCCACCACUACCUUCUUUUCAGGGUUUCUGAGUGUCUUCUACUAUCAUUCUUUUGAAAAGUUCUUAUAUUGAAUUUUUGCAAAUACAAAAUAUUCAAUUGUAUACAUAAGCAGGUAGAUGAA